This is a long non-coding RNA of Acanthopagrus latus (yellowfin seabream), 903 nucleotides long. RefSeq lists it as uncharacterized. The transcript is spliced from 2 exons. NCBI's taxonomy places the organism in Eukaryota, Metazoa, Chordata, Actinopteri, Spariformes, Sparidae. The record is from RefSeq and is a predicted model, not a curated record.
GGGAUGUAUAGAAGUUCAUCUUAGAGCAGGACAGCAUGAUUCGUGGAUUUGAGUCCUGAAAUGUUACCAGGUUCUUUGUGGCGUAUUCCUCUAACCAUUGUUGUUCUCCAGCUUUGUCCUGUCACUUGAUCUCGUAAAACAUUCCUUUUUGCCACUGCUUUUAACUGAAGCAAUUCAAGUCUUUCAACUGCAUUAUGACUCUGACUCUACAGUCUUGCUGCUUUUAAAGCUUUUCUAUUCUAGCCUACUUGUUUUGAUGUUUGUUUCUGAAUGUUUUUACUGGUUUUAAAAUGCUAUUUUAAUGUUUUUAAUGCAGUUUUUAAUGUCCUUUAAAUGAAUUUUUUAUGUCUUUUAAUGAAAUUGCCUGUAUAUUGAAUGAAUAUUAUUAAUAUUAAUAUUAAUUUUGAACUGAAUAUUGCCUGUGUGCCUGUAAAGCACUUUGAGUUUCCUUGUGUCUGGAUUGUGCUAUACGAAUAAACUUUGCCCUGCCUUGCCUCUCUCACAGGUGCAUCUCAUUACCUAUCAACCCGGUACAUAAGCUCCAGCCUCACAGACACUCAUUGCCUGAUUGUUAAUAAACUACUGUGCAAGACUCUCCAGCACAUCUAGGUGGGCUAAUGUCCUGUUGAACCCGUCCUGCCUGUCCCCCGGUGAACUCACAUGCCUUCUGCUCUGAGUUUCUCUGCAGCCUCUCUGGACUCUGUUCUGCCUGUGACUCGAGACACUCACCACAUUGCCAUGUUUGCUUUUGUGUGUGUACCAAUGUGUUUUGGACUGUGUCUUCUACAUGCAGCCAGAUUCCACCUGCUCUGUCAGAGAGCUUCCUGAGAGACAUUACUGUGGUCACACUCGCCUUGUACUACUUCUGCAGAGUUUGAUCAUUAAAGCUGUUUAUUAACUAUU